UUUAAGAAAAUUUUUAAAAUUUGGUUUAGUUGAACUGGAUUAGUACCCAGGUAAUCAAAAUUAAUUAAUUCGGGAGUAAAGUUUUGUUUAAACCGAAAAAAUAUUGACUGACUCUGGAUUUCUUUUUGGAAUAUGUGUAUGGAGAGCCCUCUUUUAUAGUAAAUCUUUUUUUGCACAUGUAUGAUUGUUUAGUUUUUAUUUUAUUUUGUAAUGCUUUAUUUUUAGAUUAAAAACAGAUAUAUAUUUGGCUUAUGGGUUUAUUAAUC
Molecule: ribosomal RNA, 266 nt
Filed under: Mansonella perstans
Lineage: Eukaryota; Metazoa; Nematoda; Chromadorea; Rhabditida; Onchocercidae
Description: partial small subunit ribosomal RNA
Source: RNAcentral